UAAACUUUAUAUAUAUUUGAUUUUGCUUUUCUCUUUGUGUGUAGAGGGAACAUGUGAUGGUGAAAAGUUAACCCUUGAGGAUUAGUACAGAUCACUUGAAAAGCCAUUAAUCAGAGUGCUUGGUGAACAUGAAGUCCAGAACAAUAGAAUUUCCUACAGGUAGGAAGGAGGAAGAGCCUUGGAGCUUGAGGUGCCACUUUUCUCUACACUAAACCCCUGGCCCUAGGAUGUUCACUGAUGUCCUUCAGUGAAAAGUAAGGGACAGCCACGCUAGAAG
This is a long non-coding RNA of Canis lupus familiaris (dog), 277 nucleotides long. RefSeq lists it as uncharacterized. Lineage: Eukaryota; Metazoa; Chordata; Mammalia; Carnivora; Canidae. The transcript is spliced from 3 exons. The record is from RefSeq and is a predicted model, not a curated record.